RNAcentral lists this long non-coding RNA (831 nucleotides) under Nicotiana benthamiana. RNAcentral's name for it is "long non-coding RNA (NBEN_LNC002773)". Lineage: Eukaryota; Viridiplantae; Streptophyta; Magnoliopsida; Solanales; Solanaceae. The record is from RNAcentral.
UCCUUUAUAUAUUUAUAUAGAAGAUCUGAGAAAACCACAUAACAUGUAUUAUAGAUAGGCAAUUAAUUAACCAAUUAUUGAUUCCUAAAACCGACUACCUCAACACCAAAAUGAAACGUUAUAACAUGAACUCAUUACUCAUAUAUAUACUGUGUGAGACAACAUGUUUUCUCCCAUAAGUGGAGUUUUUCAGCCAAAUAACAACAUCAUAUCAAGUGCAGUAAUUAAUGGUAAAACAAAAAGCAAUCACUUUAACUUAUCUUUAUUUCUCUCUAUUCUCUAAGUAUGGUUCUCCAUACUUAGAGAAUAUGCAGUAAAUAACAAUCUCUCACAAUUGUAGAAGAAUCAGAGUAGAAUAGGAAGAAACAACCACAACAUAAACUAGGAAAGAAAUGGAACUUAAUUUUUGAAAUGGGAUAAACAACUAGGAAACAUAACAUAGAGAAAGAAGUAAUUAACUCAAUACUCGAUAUCAAGAUAGUCGAGUUGCACAACAAUAACAACUACCCAGUAUAGUCUCAAGUGGGGUAUGGGGAGGGUAAUAUGUAGACGAGUCUUACCCCUACCUAAAAGGGCAGAGAGACUAUUUCCAAUCGACCAUCGUCUCAAAUAGUCGAGUUGCACGUAAAUAGAAAAAUAACUAACACACAAAGAGGGAAUUUCUUGCUUUACCUUAUUCUUUGUAGAAGAUGAAAAUGACAAUUAGCAACAACAAAAAAUAUGCAUCAAGGCAUGGUUUUUGGUAGAGAAAGUAUAGCAAAAGAAGGAAGGAUUAACAGAAAAUGAAUGAGAGAGUAUAAGUAAAGAUGCUUAGGUUGGCGUCUGAAUUAU